This is a long non-coding RNA of Manis javanica (Malayan pangolin), 427 nucleotides long. RefSeq lists it as uncharacterized. The record is from RefSeq and is a predicted model, not a curated record. NCBI's taxonomy places the organism in Eukaryota, Metazoa, Chordata, Mammalia, Pholidota, Manidae.
CUAGACUACUCACUAGACCAAGGAGGAGAUUGGUCCGUGUGAGUCAGAGCUGAGUCGCCUGGCUGUGUCCAGCCUGUAUCAGCUGACCCUCAGAUGGGCGUAAGCCACCCCAGCUGACAUCAAUAGGGCCACAGAGCUAAGCUAACCUCCAGCAACCUACAGAUGCACAAGCUCUAGAGGUUUACAGUCCCAGCUGAGUCUAUCCUUUAGUCAUGCCAGCUUGGGCUCCAGGCGCAUGAGUCAAGAAGCCAUCUUGGAAAUGGAUUCUCCAGCCCCAGCUAUUCUGGCCACCAGCUAUUCAUCACUCCCUGUUAUGUGAGUUGGGUCAGCUGAAGACGCAGAUACUGUGCAGCAGAGAAGAAUGCUCUUUAUGAAUUCCUGGCCCACAGAACCCAUGAGCAUAAUAAAAUGGUUGUUGUCUUUUUAA